Molecule: long non-coding RNA, 473 nt
Filed under: Manihot esculenta (cassava)
Lineage: Eukaryota; Viridiplantae; Streptophyta; Magnoliopsida; Malpighiales; Euphorbiaceae
Description: long non-coding RNA (MESC_LNC006950)
Source: RNAcentral
AUAAUUGAAAGUUGAUAUAUGAAGAUUAGGCUAAAUUAGCACCCAAAUGAUCAAUUGGGAUCUCCCCACUUAAUGUUUCACUGUUUGCCAAGGAAUGAUAAGCCCAUGCCCAAAAAGAGGGAAAAAACAAAAAAAAGAAAGCAGAAAUGCACUCACUUCGUCUCGGCAGCUCUUAAAAUUCAUACGAUUUCCGAGGGCAGCACCUCCAACAAGGUUUCUUUUUUUUUUUUUCACAAAAAACCAGCCAGUAAGAUAACCAGCCGUCAAACAGGAUCAACACUGAGAUAACUCUUCUUCCUUUCCUGCUAUUUUUUCAUUACAAUCUCGAAAAUUUUGGAGUGUCAAGAGCAUGUACUUCGGCAUUGAAAAGGAAAUCAAAUAGAUUUAGCACAUCAAAGCUUAUCAGUUUUUAUCAGACCGACUGCUCUCACAUUUGCGCUGUUAAUUCAAGAAAUUUAUGUUGCUAAUUUUAU